This 425-nucleotide ribosomal RNA is filed under the name uncultured bacterium. RNAcentral describes it as "partial 16S ribosomal RNA". It matches the Rfam family "Bacterial small subunit ribosomal RNA", at positions 354 to 796 of the family's 1533-position model. The record is from RNAcentral.
GUGGGGAAUAUUGGACAAUGGGCGCAAGCCUGAUCCAGCCAUGCCGCGUGAGUGAUGAAGGCCUUAGGGUUGUAAAGCUCUUUCAGUAGGGAAGAUAAUGACGGUACCUACAGAAGAAGCCCCGGCUAACUUCGUGCCAGCAGCCGCGGUAAUACGAAGGGGGCUAGCGUUGUUCGGAUUUACUGGGCGUAAAGCGCACGUAGGCGGUUUGUUAAGUCAGGGGUGAAAUCCCGGAGCUCAACUCCGGAACUGCCUUUGAUACUGGCAAGCUAGAGUCCGGAAGAGGUAAGUGGAACUCCUAGUGUAGAGGUGGAAUUCGUAGAUAUUAGGAAGAACACCAGUGGCGAAGGCGGCUUACUGGUCCGGAACUGACGCUGAGGUGCGAAAGCGUGGGGAGCAAACAGGAUUAGAAACCCUGGUAGUCC